AAUUCUGACCCCAGGUCAGCCUCUGAAGCAUUCAGUGGACUUGGCUAUGCUGAAUCUAAGCUACGCUGAGAAGGAUCUCUUGGUAUACAGAACAGACAUCAAAUUUAACCACAGAGACAUUUUACUUAGGAGAUCAACUAAGCAACUCCAUGAUUUAUAUCACUGAAAAAAAAAAAAAAAAAAACAGUGGCUGUUAAUUAGAAGCUCCCUAAGCUUUCCAUACCUCAUCUAUUCUUUGAAGAGAUUGCCAAUAAUAAUAUAUCAAGUUCUUUUAAUAUCCACUUUGUGGAGAUAAUAGUGUUUGUAAUAUUGAGAACAGUCCUUUGAGAAAUAUAGAUGAAAUAUUUGGUAAAACACCAAAACACAAUUUUUUAAAGAACACAUUGUCAGCAAAUAAAAGAACUGUUAAGAGAAUGGGCUCUGCAGCCUCUUUGCAAACUGGGUCUAGAAACACAAAAAGUCCUGCUGUAAGGGUCUAGUAUGGGAAAAGAGGAGCAGGAAUUCGUGGUAUCAAUCUACAGCAAAAAAGAAAUGAAUAUGGAGUUUCCAUGUUGCCCUUUCUGUUGCUUCUUCCCCUUUGCCCUUCCUCCUCCACCUUCUGGUACCCCACACCAUUAGUGCAUGAUUCUAAGCUUUCGUUUUCAAUCUUCUACCCUUUCGAGAAUCUGAUGGCAUUACAUGUUGUCUCCACAAAAAUGGUGCAUUUGCUCACAUAAUUAUGAAUACCAUUCUAAGAAGUUUUUAUGGACUCUUUCCAUCUAGGGAUGGACCUAUGUACUCCUCAUCCUCUUCAUUAUGAACCUUUGCCUUAACUGCUUACCAGAUCUAAGAAUCAGAUAAGCUCAUAUGUCUUAAAUGCAAUAAGGCUUAAUAUUUGGCUAUUCUCUCCUAGAAGGAAUUUCAAAUCUAGGAUAAUGUCCCCAUCUCAAGAUCCUUAAUCACAUUUGCAAAGUCCCUUUUACCAUAUAAGAGAACAUAUUUACAGGUUCCAGAGAUUAGGAUGCAGACAUCUUUGGGGAACCAUUAUUCAGCCUACCACACUCUACAUCACCUCUUCCUCAACCCUAGUUUUGGUCCUUAUCUGUACCCCUAGACUACUUUAACAUUUCCCUAACUGGCUUUUGUGACCUCAGCCUCUCUCCCAAUUCCUUGGCCAUUCUGUAUGUGAGCCAAGUUUUAAUGAAUAUUUGUCAUUAUCUUGAAUGGCCAAAAUGCUGACCUUAACAUACCUUGGCCCAGAACUGCUCUCUCCUGUCAAACUGAUCAUAAUGUUCCCCUAUCUACACAAACCAAGGAUAUUCCUAUAUUUGUUCAGAUCACACCUCCUCUCACCUCUAAAAUUCUCCCAUUAUGCUAGAGUCUGGCAUGAGUCCCACUUCUUCCAUGAAACCCUCUGGAGGUCCAACCCACAAUUUGACUUCCUAUAGCACUUUUUGUGAACAUGAUGUCCCUAGCAUUUAUUACAUGCUAUUUGUGUGUCUCCACCAGUUUCCCACCAUACGAUCUUAGAGAAGUCAAUUUCCAUUCUCGUGCCUCUGUUUCCCUAUCUAUAAAACUGAUAAUAUUUGUACUCUCAUCAUAGGAAUGUUCUGAUCUUUCAAUGUAAUAACAAUGCACUUAAAAUGCUCAGCAUACAGCACUUAAUAAAUGUUAACUCCCCUUCCUUUUUCUUCUAUUUACUUUCUUUAGCAUAUGAGCCAUAUUAAAAAUUCUUUCAGGGAAGGGACUAUUUCUUAUGCAUUAAAAUAUACCAUAUACAUUGUAAGAUCAAUAGGUACAUCUUUUAUCACUAUUACUGUCGAUGACAAUAAUUACCAUAUAAGAGAUGAUUCCAAUAAUGUUUCAGAACUCCAAUUUGGUCCUUCCCACUUUCUAUUUCCCAUUCUGGAGUACAAAUGAACACCUUCUCUUCCAUCAAACUAUUUACAUUUCUAUUAAGAUAUUUAGAGAAUAUUUAUACUUGAUUAACUAUGGAAACACCUAAGGGUAAUGGCUGGCAAAUAGCGGAUCUUCAUCAAGUAUUGGCACAAAGAAUUAUUCUGUGGUCAAGAAUCUGCCUGUUGCAUUGCUUUCUUUACUUCUGAGUUAUCAUUUGAAAAAGGAAGAGGAUGAGGUGCCUGGGUGGCUCAGUGGGUUAAGCCACUGCCU
Molecule: long non-coding RNA, 2148 nt
Organism: Lutra lutra (Eurasian river otter)
Lineage: Eukaryota; Metazoa; Chordata; Mammalia; Carnivora; Mustelidae
Exons: 3
Source: RefSeq, a predicted model, not a curated record